CCUACGGGUGGCAGCAGUGAGGAAUAUUGGUCAAUGGACGAGAGGCUGAACCAGCCAAGUCGCGUGAAGGAUGACGGCCCUAUGGGUUGUAAACUUCUUUUAUCGGGGAGUAAAGUGUACCACGUGUGGGCUUUUGUGUGUACCCUAUGAAUAAGCAUCGGCUAACUCCGUGCCAGCAGCCGCGGUAAUACGGAGGAUGCGAGCGUUAUCCGGAUUUAUUGGGUUUAAAGGGUGCGUAGGGGGAUUGUUAAGUCAGGUGUGAAAGUUUGGGGCUCAACCGGAAAAUUGCAGUUGAAACUGGCAGGCUUGAGUAAAGUAGAGGUGGGCGGAAUGCGUGGUGUAGCGGUGAAAUGCUUAGAUAUCACGCAGAACUCCGAUUGCGAAGGCAGCACACUGGACUGCAACUGACGCUGAGGCACGAAAGCGUGGGUAUCAAACAGGAUUAGAUACCCGGGUAGUC
This 460-nucleotide ribosomal RNA is filed under the name uncultured bacterium. Its description in RNAcentral is "partial 16S ribosomal RNA". It matches the Rfam family "Bacterial small subunit ribosomal RNA", at positions 338 to 795 of the family's 1533-position model. The record is from RNAcentral.